RNAcentral lists this ribosomal RNA (922 nucleotides) under uncultured bacterium. Its description in RNAcentral is "bacterial SSU rRNA". It matches the Rfam family "Bacterial small subunit ribosomal RNA", at positions 8 to 916 of the family's 1533-position model. The record is from RNAcentral.
AGAGUUUGAUCCUGGCUCAGGAUGAACGCUAGCGGCAGGCUUAAUACAUGCAAGUUGAGGGGCAGCAUGAUAUACGCGAGUAUAUUGAUGGCGACCGGCGGACGGGUGAGUAAUAGGUAGGAGACCUACCUCAUACAGGGGGAUAGCAUAGAGAAAUCUGUGGUAAUACUCCAUGAGGUUAUAUGAAUAGAGGCAUAUAAUCAAAGCAUAAGUGAUUAUGCGGUAUGAGAGGGGCCUACUGACCAUUAGCUAGUUGGUGAGGUAAGGGCUCACCAAGGCGAAGAUGGUUAGGGGUUUUGAGAGAGAGACCCCCCACAUUGGAACUGAGAGACGGUCCAGACUCCUACGGGAGGCAGCAGUAGGGAAUAUUGGGCAAUGGGCGAAAGCCUGACCCAGCCAUGCCGCGUGAAGGAAGACGGCCUUAUGGGUUGUAAACUUCUUUACUACGCGAAUAGAGGUUAGUACGAGAUACUAAUAGGAAGGUAGUGUAGUAAAAAGCACCGGCUAACUCCGUGCCAGCAGCCGCGGUAAUACGGAGGGUGCGAGCGUUAUUCGGAAUUACUGGGUUUAAAGGGUGCGUAGGCGGUUAAAUAAGUUGUCAGUGAAAGGCUACGGCUCAACUGUAGUAGUGCUGGCGAUACUGUAUAACUAAGGACAUGGGAGGGGUACCUGGAAUGUGUGGUGUAGCGGUGAAAUGCGUAGACAUCACACAGAACACCGGAGGCAAAGGCGGGGUACUAGACCAUAGUUGACGCUGAGGCACGAAAGCGUGGGGAUCAAACAGGAUUAGAUACCCUGGUAGUCCACGCCCUAAACGAUGAUCACUAGAUAUUGGCGACAGACAGUCAGUGUCCAAGCGAAAGUGAUAAGUGAUCCACCUGGGGAAUACGGCCGCAAGGUUAAAACUCAAAGGAAUUGACGG